CAGCAGAUUGGACAUAAAAGAUCAGUAGUUUAUAUUGAGAAUUUUUUGACGAAACCAAAGGAAAAUCCACUGUUAAGAAGUGUCAAAGAUGUCAUAAAAAUUUCGUAGAAAUUUGGAUAGAAAAAGCACAGUAGCAAGAUCAAACAGAUGGUGCUAUGCGGCUGGAAUUCUGCAAUGUAUCUUUCGUCGUAGAGAUGAAAAUUUUGUGACGAAAAGUUUAUGCAGCAAUAUAGGAACGAUUUUUUUUUUUUUUGGAUUUUCAAAUAAGGAUAACUAAAUUGCAGCAGCAGUAAGGUAGGAAACCAGAACCUGUUGCAAUUCACGGGGAGAUCAACGGAUGAUCCGUGGUGGUGGAGAUGAUGACAGAAUUCGGUGAUGAUCUUUUAAGCAAUUGUGGGAAUUGCUUUGGAUGGUUGUAGAGGGUUGAUGGAUGGCUGUGGAAGGGCAGCGAGACGCCAAGAACGCUGCUCUGAUACCAGGUGGUAGAACCCUUGCAGAUUCUAAACUUGGGGUUGAUCUCUUUAGGGGAUCGGCCUCCUUCGAACUCUAUAGGGGUUCCUCCCUCCAAGUGCUGCUCAAAGGCUG
This 585-nucleotide long non-coding RNA is filed under the name Musa acuminata (dwarf banana). Its description in RNAcentral is "long non-coding RNA (MACU_LNC009071)". Lineage: Eukaryota; Viridiplantae; Streptophyta; Magnoliopsida; Zingiberales; Musaceae. The record is from RNAcentral.